CCGUACCAAUAUCUCGGUAACCGACAUAGUUGGUUACUAACAUUUUCGGUUCGGGUGGUAAUCGGUUGGUUGGUUUGGAUCGGGAGAAAAUGCCAGCCCUAACACUUGUUGUAUGUGUGCCCAUUGCAUGAUGAAAAGGGACAUAUAUCCAUAUGUGUGGUUAUUCACCGAAUCAGAACCUGAAAAAGAAGAAGAAUCACCCAGACACUCAGAUCGUUUUGAGGUCAUUCACAGUCCAAGUUUUGAGGUGCUUCCUGAGGCCAUCGGAAUCGUUCAGCCAAACUAAGGAUGUGAAUUGAUUGAGAUUGAGGACCCGAAAAGAUGACCCGCACCGUAGCCUAAAAUUUUCGUAUUCAUCGUAUUUCUCCCGGGUUGGUUUCGCGAUGGAGGACCCGCCUAUUUCAUUUCAUUCGAAUUUCCUCUCUUUCCCUAUAUUCCACACCAACUUAGCCUCCGCCUAGAGAGAGGAAGCUUCCACCUUUCAAAUCAAACUCGGAGAAAUCAAGGUAUAUAUCAGUUGCUAUGGUUAAAGUUUCAAUCUUUUUACUGGUCCGUGAAUUUUGGUGUUUGGGUAUGGUCAGUUCGCUAAUUUCUAUCAUUCUGUCACUGUAUCUUAUGUUUAUUUGAACUGGGAGAAUGCAUUCAAGGAGAAAAAUGUCAACUCUUUGUCUCUGUAGAAUGGUAAAAUUUAGAGCUAAAUGCACUUUAACUUGCUGAGUC
Long non-coding RNA from Rosa rugosa (rugosa rose), 720 nucleotides. RefSeq lists it as uncharacterized. NCBI's taxonomy places the organism in Eukaryota, Viridiplantae, Streptophyta, Magnoliopsida, Rosales, Rosaceae. The transcript has 2 exons. The record is from RefSeq and is a predicted model, not a curated record.